This is a small nucleolar RNA of Conger conger (European conger), 215 nucleotides long. RefSeq annotates it as small nucleolar RNA U3. The record is from RefSeq and is a predicted model, not a curated record. NCBI's taxonomy places the organism in Eukaryota, Metazoa, Chordata, Actinopteri, Anguilliformes, Congridae. The transcript has a single exon.
AAGACUAUACUUUCAGGGAUCAUUUCUAUAGUGUGUGACUGAGGAAUGCGUUUUGAAAGUGUUUGGUCUCGCUGCCCACGAUGACGAGAUAGUGCAUCCCUUUCUGAGCGUGACGCGGAUAGAGAAUAUUGGUUUUUAAUCAGCAGUUCUCUAUCAUAGAUGACCGUUCCGCUUCUGCAGAGAAUGUGGAGGACGGUGGAUGUGUUCUGAGUGGU